This 1488-nucleotide ribosomal RNA is filed under the name Lactiplantibacillus plantarum. Its description in RNAcentral is "bacterial SSU rRNA". It matches the Rfam family "Bacterial small subunit ribosomal RNA". Lineage: Bacteria; Bacillati; Bacillota; Bacilli; Lactobacillales; Lactobacillaceae. The record is from RNAcentral.
GACGAACGCUGGCGGCGUGCCUAAUACAUGCAAGUCGAACGAACUCUGGUAUUGAUUGGUGCUUGCAUCAUGAUUUACAUUUGAGUGAGUGGCGAACUGGUGAGUAACACGUGGGAAACCUGCCCAGAAGCGGGGGAUAACACCUGGAAACAGAUGCUAAUACCGCAUAACAACUUGGACCGCAUGGUCCGAGUUUGAAAGAUGGCUUCGGCUAUCACUUUUGGAUGGUCCCGCGGCGUAUUAGCUAGAUGGUGGGGUAACGGCUCACCAUGGCAAUGAUACGUAGCCGACCUGAGAGGGUAAUCGGCCACAUUGGGACUGAGACACGGCCCAAACUCCUACGGGAGGCAGCAGUAGGGAAUCUUCCACAAUGGACGAAAGUCUGAUGGAGCAACGCCGCGUGAGUGAAGAAGGGUUUCGGCUCGUAAAACUCUGUUGUUAAAGAAGAACAUAUCUGAGAGUAACUGUUCAGGUAUUGACGGUAUUUAACCAGAAAGCCACGGCUAACUACGUGCCAGCAGCCGCGGUAAUACGUAGGUGGCAAGCGUUGUCCGGAUUUAUUGGGCGUAAAGCGAGCGCAGGCGGUUUUUUAAGUCUGAUGUGAAAGCCUUCGGCUCAACCGAAGAAGUGCAUCGGAAACUGGGAAACUUGAGUGCAGAAGAGGACAGUGGAACUCCAUGUGUAGCGGUGAAAUGCGUAGAUAUAUGGAAGACACCAGUGGCGAAGGCGGCUGUCUGGUCUGUAACUGACGCUGAGGCUCGAAAGUAUGGGUAGCAAACAGGAUUAGAUACCCUGGUAGUCCAUACCGUAAACGAUGAAUGCUAAGUGUUGGAGGGUUUCCGCCCUUCAGUGCUGCAGCUAACGCAUUAAGCAUUCCGCCUGGGGAGUACGGCCGCAAGGCUGAAACUCAAAGGAAUUGACGGGGGCCCGCACAAGCGGUGGAGCAUGUGGUUUAAUUCGAAGCUACGCGAAGAACCUUACCAGGUCUUGACAUACUAUGCAAAUCUAAGAGAUUAGACGUUCCCUUCGGGGACAUGGAUACAGGUGGUGCAUGGUUGUCGUCAGCUCGUGUCGUGAGAUGUUGGGUUAAGUCCCGCAACGAGCGCAACCCUUAUUAUCAGUUGCCAGCAUUAAGUUGGGCACUCUGGUGAGACUGCCGGUGACAAACCGGAGGAAGGUGGGGAUGACGUCAAAUCAUCAUGCCCCUUAUGACCUGGGCUACACACGUGCUACAAUGGAUGGUACAACGAGUUGCGAACUCGCGAGAGUAAGCUAAUCUCUUAAAGCCAUUCUCAGUUCGGAUUGUAGGCUGCAACUCGCCUACAUGAAGUCGGAAUCGCUAGUAAUCGCGGAUCAGCAUGCCGCGGUGAAUACGUUCCCGGGCCUUGUACACACCGCCCGUCACACCAUGAGAGUUUGUAACACCCAAAGUCGGUGGGGUAACCUUUUAGGAACCAGCCGCCUAAGGUGGGACAGAUGAUUAGGGUG